Long non-coding RNA from Gordionus sp. m RMFG-2023, 877 nucleotides. RefSeq lists it as uncharacterized. The record is from RefSeq and is a predicted model, not a curated record. The transcript is spliced from 3 exons. NCBI's taxonomy places the organism in Eukaryota, Metazoa, Nematomorpha, Gordioida, Chordodea, Parachordodidae.
UCAGUUAUAUUUAAUUUGUUAUUACAAAGUUUUUUUUAUCAAAUUAAUUAUUGUAAUAAUUGAUUUUUUUAUAAAAAUAAUAAAAUAAUAAUGAUAAAUUUUUUUAUAAAAUAAAUUUGGUCAAUUUUUUUUUCAGUAAUUUAAAUUAAUAUCAUUCAACGUGAUCCAAAAAAAUGAUAACAGGACAAUUCUGACAUGGAUAGUCAGUAGUUUAAAAAAAGAAGAAAUUUUUUUUGGUCUUAAUCUAGCAUCAAAUGUCAGUCGGAAUAUAAAUGCCACCAAUACUAAUCACCAUGAAGAUUAUAUAGACGAUUCUUAUUAGAUGAUGAUCGUUUUUACCAGUUAAGGAUCAAGCUAACGAUUACCAUAUGACUAUCGUUAUACAAAUCAAUCCAGCGAUUACCUGAUGAAUAUUGUUACUCAAAUCAAGCCAACGUUUACCGGAGGACUAUCUUUAUUCAAAUCAAGCCAACAAUUACAUGAUGACUAUUAGUACAACUAGUGAUCAAGCUCACGAUUACAUAAAUAUGAUGUAAAUGUAGAUAACUGGAGAUCAGACAUUUUUACGCUAUGUGAUAUGAUAUGGGAAAUUCUUAUUAGCAGAUUAGCGUCCUUACAAGUUACACGAAGAUGUCAAUAUAGCAUACCUCUGUAGAGCCAUUAAUAUUCAUUAUUCUCUUAAUAUCAAUAAUAAUCAAGAUGCAUAGUAAUGGAAAUUCUCUUAUUUUAAAAAAUCUUGCUUCUAUGGACGCUUCGUCACUGUGUCUUGGUCACCACCAUUUUAAAGCUGCUCAGUUGGGAAGAAGUUUUUCUCAGUUCUUACUAAAGGAAAUUGGUUUUUGGUAGAUCGAAAAUUUAAUCGGUCCAAUAGUAAUCA